This is a long non-coding RNA of Coregonus clupeaformis (lake whitefish), 282 nucleotides long. RefSeq lists it as uncharacterized. The record is from RefSeq and is a predicted model, not a curated record. The transcript has 3 exons. Lineage: Eukaryota; Metazoa; Chordata; Actinopteri; Salmoniformes; Salmonidae.
AUCCCCUCCCAAAUGGAUAUAGAACCUUCACAAAAACACAUGGAGCAAUUGUGAAAAGAAAUGGCUGAGGAUAUAAUAAAAAUGUCUGAGUUCAACAAAGCCAACGACGUCUUCAUGUGUGCCACUGAUAAAGACCUGGAUGUGGCCCAAAGACUGACUGGAUGUAAUGUUUUGCAUGCCAACGGUGGUUCCAUGUGCUGUGCCUAGGGAUGAAUACAAAAGAGUUCAACAGUGAAGAACACAAACUAGAAGUGCGGUCUUUGAUGUUGAAAAUAUAUGCUA